This 253-nucleotide ribosomal RNA is filed under the name uncultured bacterium. Its description in RNAcentral is "partial 16S ribosomal RNA". It matches the Rfam family "Bacterial small subunit ribosomal RNA", at positions 524 to 776 of the family's 1533-position model. The record is from RNAcentral.
UACGAAGGGUGCUAGCGUUGCUCGGAAUCACUGGGCGUAAAGGGUGCGUAGGCGGGUUUUUAAGUCAGGGGUGAAAUCCUGGAGCUCAACUCCAGAACUGCCUUUGAUACUGAAGAUCUUGAGUCCGGGAGAGGUGAGUGGAACUGCGAGUGUAGAGGUGAAAUUCGUAGAUAUUCGCAAGAACACCAGUGGCGAAGGCGGCUCACUGGCCCGGUACUGACGCUGAGGCACGAAAGCGUGGGGAGCAAACAGG